CAUCCCCUGCAGUGUUCGACAGCGGCCUGGGUAUAUUCUUGAGCCUAAUGCAUACCCCGGGGGCGCCUUUGGUUAGGGCUGUUGUGCAAGUCCGCCGCGAGCGGAAAGCCUGAAGCCCUCUCCCGCGUCCCCACUUGAACCCGCUGGUUCAAGAACGAGGGCAGGCAUCGGCACAGGUGGGGGAUGU
RNAcentral lists this non-coding RNA (187 nucleotides) under Chromatiaceae bacterium. RNAcentral's name for it is "6S RNA". It matches the Rfam family "6S / SsrS RNA". Rfam says of the family: E. coli 6S RNA was the first non coding RNA to be sequenced, but its function was unknown until recently. It consists of 184 nucleotides that fold into an extended hairpin structure with a large single-stranded internal bulge. Lineage: Bacteria; Pseudomonadati; Pseudomonadota; Gammaproteobacteria; Chromatiales; Chromatiaceae. The record is from RNAcentral.